AUGGUUAAGUGACUAAGCGUACACGGUGGAUGCCUUGGCAGUCAGAGGCGAUGAAGGACGUAUUAACUUGCGAUAAGCCCAGAUUAGGUAGUAAAAACCAUUUGAGUCUGGGAUUUCCGAAUGGGGAAACCCAAUACCAUAAGGUAUUACUGUUGAGUGAAUACAUAGCUCAACAGGGCGAACCGGGGGAACUGAAACAUCUAAGUACCCCGAGGAAAAGAAAUCAACCGAGAUUCCGAAAGUAGCGGCGAGCGAAAUUGGACUAGCCCUUAAGCUUUACACGCGUUAGACGAACAGCCUGGAAGGCCGACGAUACACGGUGAUAGUCCCGUAGUUGACGACGUGUGUUCAGU
RNAcentral lists this ribosomal RNA (353 nucleotides) under Vibrio alginolyticus 12G01. RNAcentral's name for it is "bacterial LSU rRNA". It matches the Rfam family "Bacterial large subunit ribosomal RNA", at positions 1 to 397 of the family's 2925-position model. Lineage: Bacteria; Pseudomonadati; Pseudomonadota; Gammaproteobacteria; Vibrionales; Vibrionaceae. The record is from RNAcentral.